This 343-nucleotide long non-coding RNA is filed under the name Lotus japonicus. RNAcentral describes it as "long non-coding RNA (LJAP_LNC000841)". The record is from RNAcentral. Lineage: Eukaryota; Viridiplantae; Streptophyta; Magnoliopsida; Fabales; Fabaceae.
UUUCUCCAUUUGGAGAUUCAGCUGUUAGUGUGCCAGCUUCCAAACCAGGCAGUGAAGAUGGAAGUACAUCCAAACCUCCUAGGAAGAAGAGGUUGGUCCAAGUGAAGAAUGAAAAGUGAAGCUGUUAUUAUGAUACUAUAAUGAACAUCUUUAGAGUAGUAUUAUGGUUGUUCUUUCAUGGAUAUCAAAUUCUAUUUUGUAUCUCUAAGUAUUAUGAAGUGUGUCACCAUUCUGAGUAGUAUUAAUGUGUUUGGGUGUUAUCUAUUAUAUAAUUAGAUUUCAGGGAUUCUAAUGUGUAACUUCCAAGACAUAUGUUUAUUUGAAGCUUCUUUUUAUAUAACCU